GUGGGGAAUAUUGGACAAUGGGCGCAAGCCUGAUCCAGCCAUGCCGCGUGUGUGAAGAAGGCCUUCGGGUUGUAAAGCACUUUUGUCCGGGAAGAAAUCUUCCAGGUUAAUACCCUGGGAGGCUGACGGUACCGGAAGAAUAAGCACCGGCUAACUUCGUGCCAGCAGCCGCGGUAAUACGAAGGGUGCAAGCGUUACUCGGAAUUACUGGGCGUAAAGCGUGCGUAGGUGGUUCGUUAAGUCUGCCGUGAAAGCCCCGGGCUCAACCUGGGAAUGGCGGUGGAUACUGGCGGGCUAGAGUGCGGUAGAGGGUGGUGGAAUUCCCGGUGUAGCAGUGAAAUGCGUAGAGAUCGGGAGGAACAUCUGUGGCGAAGGCGGCCACCUGGACCAGCACUGACACUGAGGCACGAAAGCGUGGGGAGCAAACAGGAUUAGAAACCCCAGUAGUCC
This 450-nucleotide ribosomal RNA is filed under the name uncultured bacterium. RNAcentral describes it as "bacterial SSU rRNA". It matches the Rfam family "Bacterial small subunit ribosomal RNA", at positions 354 to 796 of the family's 1533-position model. The record is from RNAcentral.